Molecule: ribosomal RNA, 510 nt
Filed under: uncultured bacterium
Lineage: Bacteria
Description: partial 16S ribosomal RNA
Rfam family: Bacterial small subunit ribosomal RNA
Source: RNAcentral
GACGAACGCUGGCGGCGUGCUUAACACAUGCAAGUCGAACGAAGAGCGAUGGAAGCUUGCUUCUAUCAAUCUUAGUGGCGCACGGGUGAGUAACGCGUAAUCAACCUGCCCUUCAGAGGGGGACAACAGUUGGAAACGACUGCUAAUACCGCAUACGAUCUAACCUCGGCAUCGAGGAUAGAUGAAAGGUGGCCUCUACAUGUAAGCUAUCACUGAAGGAGGGGAUUGCGUCUGAUUAGCUAGUUGGAGGGGUAACGGCCCACCAAGGCGAUGAUCAGUAGCCGGUCUGAGAGGAUGAACGGCCACAUUGGGACUGAGACACGGCCCAGACUCCUACGGGAGGCAGCAGUGGGGAAUCUUCCGCAAUGGACGAAAGUCUGACGGAGCAACGCCGCGUGAGUGAUGACGGCCUUCGGGUUGUAAAGCUCUGUUAAUCGGGACGAAAGGCCUUCUUGCGAAUAGUGAGAAGGAUUGACGGUACCGGAAUAGAAAGCCACGGCUAACUACGUG